This 62-nucleotide transfer RNA is filed under the name Sycobia sp. 2 JXW-2020. Its description in RNAcentral is "tRNA-Asp". Lineage: Eukaryota; Metazoa; Arthropoda; Insecta; Hymenoptera; Epichrysomallidae. The record is from RNAcentral.
AUAAAAUUAGUUAAAUAUAUAAUAUCAGUUUGUCAAAAAAGAUAUUUUAUUAAUAUUUUAUA